GGUUCUAAAGUCCCAACUGUCUGAGCACUUCUCUCCUGAGGGUUGAAGAUCCUGGCUGGCUCACCAUAAACUGCUAUAAUAGGAUUUUGCUUAGGAACUAAGAACAAAAGAGGAAGGAAGGAAAAAAGGAAGGAAAGAAGAGGAAGAAAACAAGUGUUUAUAUGUGCAAGUGGAGGAAACGGAGGCAGAAAGAAGUUAAGCAACUUGCUCAGGAUCACAAUCUGUAUCUGAAAUGCAAGUCUUUUGGACUCCAAAUCUAA
This 260-nucleotide long non-coding RNA is filed under the name Monodelphis domestica (gray short-tailed opossum). Its description in RNAcentral is "lncRNA (ENSMODG00000048173.1)". The record is from RNAcentral. Lineage: Eukaryota; Metazoa; Chordata; Mammalia; Didelphimorphia; Didelphidae.